GAUCGCUCGGGCUCAAUGAAGUAAUAAGAAAGGCGGCGGAGCGCGGCUGGGCCCGCGCCAGGGGGGAGGGGGAGAGCCCCGCUCCGGUCCUGAGGAGAGGAGGAAGAGCGGCGGAUGGUUGCUGCGCGAGUUCUCGCUCUUGGUGAAAAAAUCUCUCUUCUCUGGAAAUUCAUUUCCAUUUACUUAAAGUUAAAUGGUUUGACUUUGAAUUUUCAUUAUCUGCUGUUGGAAGGAGCCUGUGACAGGCAUUAGCAACAUAGUGGAUGAAGAUUUUCUGGACACUGAAGGAAGCUUUCACUUUUUCUGCAUAGCUAUGAGAAUCACACUGAUGGAGUCCAGUGUCUCUUGCAACAGAAGAAAAUACCAUCAGCACAUCCACCUUACACAACCAGUCUUCUGCCCUUCUCUCCCAAGCCAGAAGAAUAGUCUGCAAUCUGAGUAAUAGUAUCUCCACUUCACUGAAAUACUCAGACAAAACAAGAUUUGUAACAUUAGACCAAGGGAGAAUAAAUUAAGAUGCUUACUAGCAAAAACAAUCUUCAACUUUUUAAAAAUUUAAAUCUAAACACUACUGACUUCUUAAAUGGCUAGAAGAACUUGAAUAAAAACAUCAGAUGCACGGCUUGAUCGUACUCUACUUUGUGCAGGUUCCUCCCUUUACCACUUCAUGAAUGUUGUCAUUCCACAAACUUUCAACAAUACCAUUAUAUUACAGUAGAAAAAGCAUCAGCAGGAAAUACUGUACACAAACUUGAAUUAGGUAUGUGGAGUAUGUAAACUCUUCAUUCUGGCUACAGAUUGUGAAAAUGGUGUGCAGAUUUAUUUUUUUCUUCCCAUAUCUCUAAGAUACUUCCUGUACUCUGGGUCCAUUUUCCAAUAAUAGUGUAAAAUUUUAUGUUUUAAGACAUAAGCACAACAUUUCCAAAUUUAAUUGAAUACUUAGUUCCUUAGGGUCAUGCGUGUCUUCGCAGCUCAGAACUAUGUAAUCAUGGAACUACUAAAGUAGAAAGCACAGGUAACGAAUAUCCCAUCAACACCAGGACAAGGCAUAAAACCAACUUAGUCUCUGUAUAGGGUAAGAAAAAAUAAAAAAAAAUACCUGAAACCCAGCCAACAAAUGACAUAAGAAUCCAAGUCAGCUGAUGCAGAUUAGUUUAAGCAGCCUCAAACCUAUCCUCCAAAGCUGCAGGUGGGCAAUGAUGAGAAAAAAAGAAGCAAAAUAUUUAAAUGCCCUGUCUCCUUCAAGCGUAAUAGAUGAAUUUUCUCAUUUUGCCUUAGCUGCAGGAAGCAAAUCAGGUAUCUCAGUACAGAAGAUAUUUAUGUAACUUUGAAGUCAUACUAGCACAUUACAUGAUAUUCAGGUCAGCUUGAAAACACUGGCACCUGACCAGCUACAUUAGUGCAAUACUCAGUUACACCAUUCACACCAACACCCCAUCUUUCAAUGCCAAUUCUUUGCAAAAGUUUGUCAGAUUCAACUCUCAUCAGAAGUUGUGCAGAUUUUUUAAUUUUUUAUGUACUUUUUUGAGCCUUGAGGCUGCCUUGUGAUAGAGCUUCAUAGAAAAGUUUCAAAGAAAUUACAUUACUUUUAAAGAUUUGUUUAUCUUGCAAAUUCAUCUAGAUUCUCUUCAACAGAAAAUUGAUAGUUCAGAACUUUAUUAAAGUCUUUAAACAAAACAAGAACUCUAUUGUAUAUUUGGACAUAUUCUCAAAGAACCCACAAGUAAACAGAAAUACAUAUAAAAAUACAUAUUGAAAUCAAUUUUGAUUUUGAGAGAGCAUCACAGUCAAUCCACGUGUAAGUCACUGAACACUGGGUUACUGGUUUUGACUGAAAGAAUUCUGCAUAAGAACAGCUAUGAUAAUAGAAAGGAUGAUUGACAAUCCUGAUAGCUUCUG
This is a long non-coding RNA of Lagopus muta (rock ptarmigan), 1899 nucleotides long. RefSeq lists it as uncharacterized. The transcript is spliced from 4 exons. The record is from RefSeq and is a predicted model, not a curated record. Lineage: Eukaryota; Metazoa; Chordata; Aves; Galliformes; Phasianidae.